UCUAGGGCUGGGGUAGCGGGUACCGCUGGCGGAAGCUGAGGGGCUGGAGGAGGGGCCGCCGGCGCGGGAAGGUGCUGCUGGGGAAGGAGUCGAAGCGGCUGAGGGGGUGGGGGCGGCGCCGGCUGCGGGUGCAGAGGCCGCUGCGGAAGGGCCGGAGGGGGCUGGGGAUGCGGAAGGCGGUGCUGAGGCGGCGGCGCGUGGGGAAGCCGUACGGGCUGAGGUUGCCGUUGCCGGUGCGGUACGUGGUGCUGCGGCUGCUGCUGCCGGAGAAGUGGCUGGGGCCGGGGCAGGAGGGGCUGGGGCGGGUCUACCCCCGGCUGCUCCCGAAGGAGGAGGCGCUCACCGCGGCCAUGGAGGGAGAGGAACGAGGAGAGCGGAUCUAGACUAGCUAGACCGGGCCGAGCCAGCAACCAGGACGAUCUAGAUGGGCGCGCUAGCACGGCCCGACCCAACCAGGCCCCGCAUCUAGACAGCGCGACCUGGCGCUAGACCGGACGGCGAACGGUAAUAGACCCCGCGGCUCGACGACACACGCGCUCUAAGGUAGCUACACCACGGCUAUACUACUACACUAGGUCACGGAGGUCGAAGUCAUCUGAUCCUAAAAUCGACUUAAUCUCGUUGACUGAAUGUUUAGUCAGUGACAUGCGCACGAAUCAACGAAUAUUCACUAGCUUCGUUGUUAAAACGUGGUACUUAUCAACAAUUACUCUAUUUUUACCAAGUCGAACGACGUUGAACAGUACCGAUCGAUUCGAACACUGUGCGAUUCAUUCAUCCAUUAAAUUUAAACCCUAAAUCAUCAGCCACCACAGUCUAGUUGUUUGGCGUCGGCCUUAGUGUACUAUUUUAGGGUUAAAAAUGACGGACCCUGAGAGGCCCACAUUGACAUCGCAAUCGAAAACGGUUGUCCUUUUACUUUAACGGUAUACAACUACACUAGGUGCCAGAAACGACGAAGUCAUGAUGUGAUCCUAAAUUCGACUUAAUCUUAUUUACUAACGAACCUCAAGUCACACACACGACAUACUACCACACUGGGUCACGAAAUCGUCGAAGUCAUGUGAUCCUAAAAUCGACUUGUUUUCGAUUACUAGCGAACCUUAAAACGGUACUAGAUGACAUAUACGUCGAAAACGUCAUCUUUAAAUUGACGUAUCCCCGCUAACGGCAUGUUUAACCAGUGGCUUCAGCACAAAAGCGUCAUCCAUAUAUAAACAGACUGACGGUGUCGAAAAAAGUAGUACUGGACAAUUAUACUAUUUUCACUAAGUAGAACGACCUUGUGAAAGAGUCCGAUCGACUAGAACACCGUGUAAUCCACGUGUUAAAAUAAAUUUAUUUGGACCCUAAAACAUCAACUCCUAUAGUUUAGUUCUUCCAGGUUAGCCUAAACGCACUACUUUGACAUUCAAACUUAUAGAUCCUGAGAGACCUACAUCGACGGAGAAGUCAAAAAAUAGAUAUCACUUAAAUUUUACUUUAACUGAAGGGAACAAGAAUAAAGAUCUCGUAUCACCGUUUAUCUAUGUCAGAGUACAAGAACGCGUAUUCAGACAUAAAGACAUACUAAAUUCAAAUAAAAAACAAACGGUUUUACCCGAUGAACGACUCUAUUUAGAUGUGUACUGAAGGUCAAUAGGUUAUAUUUAUAGCUGUAUAUACAUCCACGAGUUUCACAACACAGGUUUUACUCUCGAAAGGCUUUAGAUUUACUCCCAAGAACUAAUACAAUUACAAUGAAGGGGUAUAUCCUUCACAAACGGAGAAAACCGCAAAGACGAUACAAAGGAGGUCACGUGAUAAACAGAUAAAUUUGGGGACGUGGUUUCUUACGUCAAACGACAUCGGUGAUGCUUUAUUUGAAAGUCUAUUUCUAUAUUGUAUACUGAGGUCUAGACUGAAGGCCCGUUCUCUUACAGAAAUAUAUUUAACGACAUCCGGGACAAGAUAUAGUAGUUGAUGUUGCGAUCACCACGUAAUUUGUAGAACUUGUCUCCGAUAUAGACAGAGCUGUUAUUUAUGACGAUAAAACAUGACGAACUAAGGUAGACAUAACACGUUUCAUUUACGAUUGCGGUCGAGACUUGUCAGUUUUACGUGAGGAAGACCUCCUUUUCCUCUUCGUGCUCUUCCUCGACUCCUCGGUUUAGUAGGAACUUCGACUUCUCAAGUUCUUCCCAAAGCAGCUCUUCGCGUUCGACUUGGAACUCUGUUCGUUCCUAGUGUUGGCCCUUUCCCUCUUCGAAAAGGACAGGUUGGUCCUCUUCAAGGUGUUCCCGCGUCUGUUCGUCAUGACCUUCCGCUAUAGGCUCGAGUAGGGUGUCCUCUAACGCGUGUAGCUCUUCUCCUGCCCGUUCUUCCUGUUCCUGUUCUUCGGACCCUAGUAGCAACAGGUCCCGGGGUUCGGGCCCUUCCGGUGGCUGUACCGCGCCUACGCGGUCUAGGAGAGUUUCGACUUCGUGUGUGGCGGCGGUGUGUACUUCGGUGGAGGUGGUGGACGACGUCGUGGGCGACCCUUCCUACCUUGAGGCCGGCGGCGACCUUUCCUGCCUCGAUUCCGCCAUCGCUGUGGACGACGGUUCCUACGGGGACGGUUGCCGUGACAGGGACUCUUCCUCUUACGGCGUGGGCGGCGGCGACGGGGGCGUCGUCGUCGGGGACGUGGUGGUCGACUCGGGUAGCGACGACGGACUUGCUUCCACUGGAGCAAGUCGGCGAUUAGGAAACGUCAUCCCAAUAUAAACCCACAGCCAUCUCAACAAGGUCCUCUCUACCCCUUCCUCGCACUUCCGGUGUAUGCUACGCUCCACCACUCUAGCAGAAACUCAAGUGGUGCCCCUUAGUACCGCCUCUAUGUGCGUCACAUGAUAAUAAUUAAACUCAAACAAUAAUACUCGUCCUCCCAACAAUGAAUACCCUGGUCGUUUGAAAUAAGCAAUUAUAACAGUAACGUAAAACAUCUCUCUUUCUCCCCUGACCAUUCUUAUUCCAUUCCGACGACGACAUACACAAACAUAUAAAUAGUAGUUCACAACCUAAAAACCAGUCUGGACACUAACUACAACGUAUAUAAUAUAGUAAACCAAAAAGUAGAGUUCAAGUCACGACAGAACACAAAUACGUGACACUACUACAUCAACCGUAACGACAUCGAACUUACGAGAAUAACAACGUAGGAAAAAAGCCACUUUUAAUAACAUGUUGUAUGAAAUUGAGGAAGUUAAGGACAAAAACAAUACUUUAAACGGACAAAUUUAAACGUGGCUACCUUUACGUUGUCAAAGUGUAUUUAACUAAAGAAAAAUACGUUCAGUGGGUUUUAAGUAUAUCGGUGGUUUAAUAGAAAAACCACAUUGAGGUAAAACCCAUAAACCUAGAUGUAGCAUACCGACACGUGAGUUGGAAGUCGACUUCUAGUUUG
This 3424-nucleotide ribosomal RNA is filed under the name Triticum aestivum (bread wheat). RNAcentral's name for it is "partial small subunit ribosomal RNA". Lineage: Eukaryota; Viridiplantae; Streptophyta; Magnoliopsida; Poales; Poaceae. The record is from RNAcentral.